AUCAGCAACUGAGUUUUUAAUUACAUUUUUAUCAAUUUUCAUGAAUUUGAUCCAACGAUCAAGCAUAGCAUAGAAAUUAAUUUGUAUUGUCUUAAAUAGGCACGAUUUAUUGCCCAUGCCAGUAUAAAAGCGGUCAAUAUUAAAGUCUCAGCGAUUUUAAUAUUCCACAUUGGAGAACAGCUUUGCUUAGCCACUGGACAGUCAUUUUUAGGAAGGGGUCAGAUGUUAAAGUCGUGCCUCACCCUGCAUAUCAGGUCUGGAAUCUUGGUUGUGUUUUAAAUUUCCAGUGAGCUCAUCAAUACCACUUUUCUGCAGCCAGGAAGACCGCAGGUCCAGGACCAGGAAUGCCACCUAGGGAGGAGCCAGGAGUCUACACAGAGAGGCUGUGCAACAAGAAGAGAUGGUCUUGUCGUGAAAUCUCAGGCAAUUUUGAAGGAAACCAAGUCUCCCUAGUGUUAAUGUUAUUCUACAAACCUCAAGUCCACAUGCAUUGUUUUUCCAUAAGUAUUUUACAUUCCUGUGAGUACCAUGAGAAAGCCCUGCUAAGUACAGUAGACCUAUGAAUGCCUACAGUUUAGCUAAUGAGGUGCCAUAAUAAAUACAUUUUUGAAUAUGGCCCUUGGUGCA
RNAcentral lists this long non-coding RNA (627 nucleotides) under Chinchilla lanigera (long-tailed chinchilla). RNAcentral describes it as "lncRNA (ENSCLAG00000026754.1)". Lineage: Eukaryota; Metazoa; Chordata; Mammalia; Rodentia; Chinchillidae. The record is from RNAcentral.